AGUGAACGCUGGCGGUAGGCCUAACACAUGCAAGUCGAACGGCAGCACAGUAAGAGCUUGCUCUUACGGGUGGCGAGUGGCGGACGGGUGAGGAAUACAUCGGAAUCUACUUUUUCGUGGGGGAUAACGUAGGGAAACUUACGCUAAUACCGCAUACGACCUACGGGUGAAAGCAGGGGAUCUUCGGACCUUGCGCGAUUGAAUGAGCCGAUGUCGGAUUAGCUAGUUGGCGGGGUAAAGGCCCACCAAGGCGACGAUCCGUAGCUGGUCUGAGAGGAUGAUCAGCCACCCUGGAGCUGAGACACGGUCCAGACUCCUACGGGAGGCAGCAGUGGGGAAUAUUGGACAAGGGGCGCAAGCCUGAUCCAGCCAUACCGCGUGGGUGAAGAAGGCCUUCGGGUUGUAAAGCCCUUUUGUGGGGAAGAAAAGCAGCAGGUUAAUACCCCGCUGUUCUGACGGUACCCAAAGAAUAAGCACCGGCUAACUUCGUG
RNAcentral lists this ribosomal RNA (491 nucleotides) under uncultured bacterium. RNAcentral's name for it is "partial 16S ribosomal RNA". It matches the Rfam family "Bacterial small subunit ribosomal RNA", at positions 29 to 507 of the family's 1533-position model. The record is from RNAcentral.